Molecule: long non-coding RNA, 221 nt
Organism: Pararge aegeria (speckled wood butterfly)
Lineage: Eukaryota; Metazoa; Arthropoda; Insecta; Lepidoptera; Nymphalidae
Exons: 3
Source: RefSeq, a predicted model, not a curated record
CACAAAUUAUGUAGUUCUUCCUUGUAAGUUUGGGAAACUUCUUCACAGCCUUCUUGGUUUUCAUUUUCCCUGCAAUCAUGGAGACAAUGAUCACGUGGAAAGAGCCAAGAAAGUUAAUUUUCCGGUUGUCACUAUUGAAGAAUGUAAGCCUCGUACUGUUCGGUUUAUUCUUAGGCGGAGGUGCGUUUUAUUCUUCAUAAAUAAAUGAAUACGAUUAUAAU